CAAUGAACGUGUCAGACGGUGGCGGGACAAACGGCAAGUGAAAUACAGUUUGCAUUUGAGCCCUUGUUUCGCCCACCUUGAGCGCCCGGUGUACGAGGGCGUAACGGGUCCCAGUACGCGUUCCUUAAAUGUAAACGCGUGCCCGCACCGUCGGUGAUCUCAUUGCGAGCACUGAGACGUCUCGUAUUUGUCCGUCGUUCCAGCCUAGUUUACUGAGCUAAGUUCUACAACACUUCUUAGGCCCUUGCAAAUAUUGAGACCGCCUAUUGUUCUGUACCAUGCAGCCAAAAUGUUGCACCCAUCAGUUAUUUCCUGUCGACAGAGAGAGCAAGAAUACGGUUACUCUCGCGAGACACUCAAUUUUAGCGGCUGCUGUUCGUUCCCUUUUGUCUGGGACAAAUUGCAGCAUAUAUGUUAAUUUCAAUCAUGUUUGAAGACACAAGACUAUGAAAAGCCAUGGUAACUGGCCGUUCCGAGAAAAUGAAAUUCUACUCCUUCUGAAUGAGUAUUUGCAAUAUUUCUGAAACUAAUAAAAACGUUUGGUGUCAUCCCUGUACCUUGCUUUUUCCUCUUGUAUGCUGGUGAGGGGAGUGCAUCGGACUUGUUGCUGUCGAUGUAUGCCAGCCACGACGAAAACACAGAAGAGCCUUCAUUGAAUGGGAUGUGCUACACUGAAGAAGGCAAUGGGGAUGAAGGCAGCACGACCAGGCCAAGUCAGCAAGUGUGGGAAGCUGACCCAUCACCGCUGGACACCACCCAAGGAGAGCAGGCCACUGAAGAGAGUGAAGUCGAUGAACAAGCACAAGGGCCCAUUUACACUUAGAAAAGACAGCGACGAGCACGCGCUCCUCAAACAGGAAUCAGAGGCCUGCAAGGUAUGGGGCUGGAGCUCCUGACAAGGCGAGAGGAGAAUGAUUUCAUCCUUCGCCGAAAGGAAAUAGAACUCCAGCACCGGAGGUUGGAGUAUGAUGAGAGGCGCCUGGCCUUGGAAGAAAAAAAGGUCUCUCUGUUUGAAGAGAGACUCGAAAAACUGAAAACCCAAUGUAAGAAAAAUAAUGAAUGUAUGCUUGAAAACAUAAAAAAUAUGCUCGAGCAGCGUGAAAA
Molecule: long non-coding RNA, 1104 nt
Organism: Dermacentor andersoni
Lineage: Eukaryota; Metazoa; Arthropoda; Arachnida; Ixodida; Ixodidae
Source: RefSeq, a predicted model, not a curated record